CUUGCUUGUGUGCUAUAUACAUUUUAGCUCGUAUUAUUUCCAGAUUACGUGCUACAGGACGACAGACCGCAAUUGAAUCAAUGACGUAAGCAUCUACAAUUUAUAAGCGCAACAUCUCUACACCCCAGUCAGGCACACCAGAUGUAGUCAACUAUUCUACUCAGCACUAACUUUCUACAAAUUUGUUUGAGUAUGCGCACAACCCCAACUAAAGCUAAAAUCGAUAACACGAUGGAUAUGGGUAUUCACUUGAGAAUAGCGCACAUUUGCUCAAUAUAUACAGCCUUACAUCAAAUUGUAUGCAAUUAAACACAAUGUCAUGCUUAAUGUCGUUUACCCAACACUUGAAAAGCAACGACAGCGCAGUUGGAAAAUGUUAGUGGGUACAUACUUACAUACAUACAUACAUAUGUAUAUAUAGCUUUAGAAAGACAUGCGUAUAUAUAAGUACAUAAGUAUAUCUGUAGACGAUGUGCCUUAUGUAUUUUUCAUACUGUGGUUUUUGUACACGCUUAAAAUCGCCCGGGAGGUUCGUAUGCGCGAUAGAAAUGCAGAGCGUAACGAUAUAAUCGAAACAUAUGCACAUAUGAGCGGGUAUUUUACAAUGUUUAUUUAAGUGCCAAACCAUUUGGCAAGUCAUACGAUGACUAAUACGCAUUUCAAAUGACUAACGACGGCGAAAACAAGCGGAAACAAGAAUAAUUGUUCAUUAGUUUUCAUAGAAAUUCGUUUGCUUACCUCGAUAUGUAUUUAAGCAAGCAAGCGAUGCGAUAGCGGUGCGGCUGAGACGAAUGCGCACGAAUUCAAACGAAACGAACCCAGCCCGAAGCGAGCGCAUGAAGAUGAACUAAUACCAACACAUAUGUAUAUACAUAAAUAUUUAUAUAUGUACAAGUUUUUAAUAACUAUAUACCGCAAGUAAAUGCAAUGCGAGUGAGAAAAAUUGAUAUAUAGCAAACAUAGAAGUCGCUCACUAUAUGAAUAUACACAUUUAGACGUAAAUACCUGAGAAGAGCGCAUAUUGUGUUUUCUAUGCCACACAAUACACACAGUACACGAUAAAAAUCACCCAACAGGCAAGCAAAGUGAGUAUGGUGUGUACGUGUAGACAAAGUUGAAUUUCCAUAUCUAUACAUGUGUGCAACAUAUGCUUGCAUGCGAAGCGCCUGAAGUCGGGAAACACGGCACGAUACAAGCGACCAGUGGGAAUAUGAAUAGCAUGAGAAACCCUACAACCAGUUUGCAAAGCAUGAAUGCAUUAUGAUUGUGUGUGUUUUUAUGUUUCUAGCUAAAGUAGUUUUGCACAGUGGUGCAGAUUGAGAAAUAUUUCGAAUUGGUAGGUAGCAGAAGUGAUUGUGUGACUUUAUUUUAUUAGACCGGGGAUGAAGCCUUCGAAAAUGAGAAAAAGUGAAAAACAAAAAUAAGAGUGAAAUGCAACUCAUUGGAAAUGGAAAAUAAUUUAAUAAAAAUUAAAGGAAAAUUUUUUGAAAAAUUGUUUAAUUCGAUUUCAGGUAAAAUGUCAUGUGUUACUUAAAAAGUUAAAUGGCUAAGUUAUAGAUAACAAAAAAAUUUACAAUAUUUGCCUUAACGCUUUUUCACAUA
Molecule: long non-coding RNA, 1602 nt
Organism: Bactrocera tryoni
Lineage: Eukaryota; Metazoa; Arthropoda; Insecta; Diptera; Tephritidae
Exons: 3
Source: RefSeq, a predicted model, not a curated record